GUCACUAGACAAGGAUGGCACCACUGGACAGAGGACAGCGCUGUUGAACCAAUGCUGCUGGAUUGAGGACUGCAUUGCUGGAUGUAGGCAAUGCUGCUAGGGUUUCAGCUCUAUACCAUGUGACAAAUGCAGUAGAUCAAUCUUUUAAGAGAGAGAGAGCCUCUAGUAUUGAGACUAAAGUCUCAAUAGACCUAAAUGGGCCAAUAUGGCCCAUAACUUGGAUGAGCCAAUACAGUCCGUACCUAAUAGCAUUCAUGAUAUUCAACACUUUUAACUGAACCAGGAAGAUUCGGAUGUUUCAUCUGUGGUAACUCUAUCAGCAAUAGUUGGGAAGCCUUCUUCAUAUUAUUUCUUUUCUUGACAGUAUCUGGUCCUUUUCUACAUUGGGCUUACUUUUCUUUUUUACACAGUUCGCUUAAUUUAAUUUUUCUG
RNAcentral lists this long non-coding RNA (432 nucleotides) under Spirodela polyrhiza (greater duckweed). RNAcentral describes it as "long non-coding RNA (SPOL_LNC001704)". The record is from RNAcentral. Lineage: Eukaryota; Viridiplantae; Streptophyta; Magnoliopsida; Alismatales; Araceae.